This 253-nucleotide ribosomal RNA is filed under the name uncultured bacterium. Its description in RNAcentral is "partial 16S ribosomal RNA". It matches the Rfam family "Bacterial small subunit ribosomal RNA", at positions 524 to 776 of the family's 1533-position model. The record is from RNAcentral.
UACGGGGGGGGCAAGCGUUGUUCGGAAUUACUGGGCGUAAAGGGCUCGUAGGCGGCCAAGUAAGUCGGACGUGAAAUCCCUCAGCUUAACUGGGGAACUGCGUCCGAUACUGGAUGGCUUGGAUUUGGGAGAGGGAUGCGGAAUUCCAGGUGUAGCGGUGAAAUGCGUAGAUAUCUGGAGGAACACCGGUGGCGAAGGCGGCAUCCUGGACCAAUAUUGACGCUGAGGAGCGAAAGCCAGGGGAGCAAACGGG